Molecule: ribosomal RNA, 487 nt
Filed under: uncultured bacterium
Lineage: Bacteria
Description: partial 16S ribosomal RNA
Rfam family: Bacterial small subunit ribosomal RNA
Source: RNAcentral
AUUGAACGCUGGCGGCAGGCCUAACACAUGCAAGUCGAACGGUAACAGGAAGCAGCUUGCUGCUUCGCUGACGAGUGGCGGACGGGUGAGUAAUGUCUGGGAAGCUGCCUGAUGGAGUGGGAUAACUACUGGAAACGGUAGCUAAUACCGCAUAAUGUCGCAAGACCAAAGAGGGGGACCUUCGGGCCUCUUGCCAUCGGAUGUGCCCAGAUGGGAUUAGCUUGUUGGGGGGGUAACGGCUCACCAAGGCGACGAUCCCUAGCUGGUCUGAGAGGAUGACCCGCCACGCAGGAACUGAGACACGGUCCAUACUCCGACGGGAGGCAGCAGUGGGGAAUAUUGAACAGUGGGCGCAAGGAUGAAGCAGCCAUGCCGCGUGUAUGAAGAAGGCCUUCGGGUUGUAAAGUACUUUCAGCGGGGAGGAAGGGAGUAAAGUUAAUACCUUUGCCCAUUGACGUUACAAGCAGAAGCAGCACCGGACAACUCC